CGUAGGUGGCAAGCGUUAUCCGGAUUUACUGGGUGUAAAGGGCGUGUAGGCGGGAUUGCAAGUCAGAUGUGAAAACCACGGGCUCAACCUGUGGCCUGCAUUUGAAACUGCAGUUCUUGAGUACUGGAGAGGCAGACGGAAUUCCUAGUGUAGCGGUGAAAUGCGUAGAUAUUAGGAGGAACACCAGUGGCGAAGGCGGUCUGCUGGACAGCAACUGACGCUGAGGCGCGAAAGCGUGGGAGCAAACAGGAUU
This 253-nucleotide ribosomal RNA is filed under the name uncultured bacterium. Its description in RNAcentral is "partial 16S ribosomal RNA". It matches the Rfam family "Bacterial small subunit ribosomal RNA", at positions 526 to 779 of the family's 1533-position model. The record is from RNAcentral.